UAAGAUGGCGUCGCUGUGAGUUCACCUUAGGCGCCGGAGGUCCCGAGAGAGCGAGGGGAGAUCAUCGACAUCCAUUGCC
Molecule: microRNA precursor, 79 nt
Filed under: Petromyzon marinus (sea lamprey)
Lineage: Eukaryota; Metazoa; Chordata; Hyperoartia; Petromyzontiformes; Petromyzontidae
Description: microRNA pma-mir-4588 precursor
Source: miRBase by way of RNAcentral